GAAAAAAAAGUUAACAGCCUCUGGGGCACCGAUUUUGACGGCAUUGACAAGAACCAAAUUCAAAACAAUGUGCAUUGCAGUGCACAUAAAAUGCUAAUCUUGCACUGUUUUUAAAUCCGUGCAGACACACCAGAAUGCUUUCCGCUCAUCUCACCGUCACAGCCUUGCCCCAGCAGAUUAUUUCUGUAGUCCAGACCGUGUUUUUCAAGGCAAUCAAGUGUGAGACCGGCUGCAUCUAAGCUUUCAUGGAUGGCCCCGUUGUAAUAGCACCUCACUACUAAAGACGUUUGUUUGGUUUCAUCUGAAAUUACACUAAAAACCUUCUUUCACUUUGUACCAUCUAUCUCAGCUAAGCCCUCAAGAAAUUCGUUCUGGAUUUGGUGGCUUGUUUCUAUAGGUUGGGGGUUUCAUCAAGGUUAGUGUUUCUAUAGGUUGGGGGUUUCUAUAGGUUGGGGGUUUCAUCAAGGUUAGUGUUUCUGUAGGUUGGGGGUUUCUAUAGGUUGGGGGUUUCAUCAAGGUUAGUGUUUCUAUAGGUUGGGGGUUUCAUCAAGGUUAGUGUUUCUAUAGGUUGGGGGUUUCAUCAAGGUUAGUGUUUCUAUAGGUUGGGGGUUUCAUCAAGGUUAGGGUUUCUAUAGGUUGGGGGUUUCAUCAAGGUUAGUGUUUCUAUAGGUUGGG
This is a long non-coding RNA of Oncorhynchus keta (chum salmon), 675 nucleotides long. RefSeq lists it as uncharacterized. NCBI's taxonomy places the organism in Eukaryota, Metazoa, Chordata, Actinopteri, Salmoniformes, Salmonidae. The record is from RefSeq and is a predicted model, not a curated record. The transcript has 3 exons.